CAGUCCGCAUGUUCGUGGUGCCCCAUUUUUUUCUGGAAUAUGUUGAGCAAACCUGGAGAAGCUUCAGCUCAAGAUAUUAUUGUUGUCAUUGCUGUGGAUCUUUACCCGAUACACCGAUUUGGUACUUUAUACUCACAACAUGAGGGAAGCAGCUGAAAAUCAUUAAAGAGGAUGGUCUGAACAUAACAUGACACAGGUCGCCUUCCUCAGCACCUGCCUCCAUCAGACUCCUCUCACUGGACAUGGAUCACAGUCCUUAAAAUAUUAACAUCUGGGAUUGUUUUCCUUUUGGACUGAAAACUGAGGAGAGAACCAGAAGAUGAAGAGACUGGAGCAACAAAACUGUUCAGUCAAACUGGUGUCAUACCACCAUGCAAAGAGAGAAUUAUUGAAUUUUAUUUUAUUUUAUGUUUUUUUCAUUUAUUUUUGCAUGUGUGUUGUUGCUGCCUGUGUUUAAUUGAGUGGGAGACACUUGCUGCUGCCUAUUUUGGCCAGGUCUCCCUUGAAAAUAGGUUUUUAAUGUCAAAGGGAUCUUCCUGGUUAAAUAGAGGUUAAAUUAAAAAUAAAUUAAAAUUACCCCACUGUCU
Long non-coding RNA from Oreochromis aureus, 587 nucleotides. The record is from Ensembl. Lineage: Eukaryota; Metazoa; Chordata; Actinopteri; Cichliformes; Cichlidae.